UACGUAGGGGGCAAGCGUUGUCCGGAUUUAUUGGGCGUAAAGAGCGUGUAGGCGCCAAGCAGGUCAGCUGUGAAAACUCGAGGCUCAACCUCGAGACGUCGGUUGAAACCGCUUGGCUAGAGUCCGGAAGAGGAGAGUGGAAUCCUGGUGUAGCGGUGGAAUGCGCAGAUAUCAGGAGGAACACCGAUGGCGAAGGCAGGUCUCUGGGCAUUAACUGACGCUGAGGAGCGAAAGCAUGGGGAGCGAACAGG
Molecule: ribosomal RNA, 251 nt
Filed under: uncultured bacterium
Lineage: Bacteria
Description: partial 16S ribosomal RNA
Rfam family: Bacterial small subunit ribosomal RNA
Source: RNAcentral